CCCCUCCUUCCUAAGAUCGUUGCAUUUCAAGGGCUCCUUGAAAUUGUUAAAUACAGAAAGUUUGAAAAAGAAUGUAAGUGAUUUCCAGCCUGGGUCCCAGAUUGGUUCCCCAGUUGGCCUACCCAAAGGAAUGAGCCUCCCACCAUUGCUGACAACGCUUAACUCAAAACUAGUCUCUGCUGGGGAUUCAGUUGUGGAAGAGAUACUGCACAACAACUUCAGCUGAAGCAAAUCUCCACCAAAGCACCAGAAACCAGGAGCCUGAACCAUCCGUUGGAACAUGAAGAGAAACCAGAGACUGUUGCAGGCGGGCCACUUGGAGAGGAGGAUGGCACAGCUACGUCAUCUUCCCUCUCUCCCAGGAGCUUCUACCACCAGCAUCUUCCUCGCUCUCCGAGGCAGCGUCAGAUCUGAGGUCAGCAGUGGCACACUCUACAAACCUUUGCAGCUUUGGGCGUGGUUACCUUCUGCUUGGAGAACACGGGGCAAAAGAUGUAGGGGAUACCUUGGGGCCUGGAGGGUGUCAGUCACCUGCAGAUGUUCAGCAUUGGGGGUUACACUGAGCCCGUGCCAUGUGACAGAGGGCCUUCUAAAGUGAUGGGCCCAGGACCCCGCCCACCCAGGGUGAUGGCCAGUACUGCACUUCUUGCUAAAUAACCAUAUAAAUAUUACUGUAGUGGAUUGAAUAGUGGUCCCCGAACAGAUAUACCCACAUCCUAGUCCCUAGAACCCGUGAAUGUGACCUUAUUUUUGCAGAUGUGUUAAAUUAGGGGUCUCGAGAUAAGAUCAUUCUGGAUUAUCUAGGUAGGCCCUAAAUACAAUAAUGUGUCCUUCUAAGAGACAAAUAGAAGAGAGACAGAGGGAGAAGGGGAGAAGGCUGCAUGAACUUGGAGGCAGAGACUGGAGCGAUGCAUGCAGCCCCAAGCCAAGGAAUGCCCACAGCCGCUGGAAGCUGCUAGAGGUGGGGAAGGAUACUCCCCAGAGCCCUCAGGGGAGCACCGAGCUGCCAACACCUUGCUUUCAGACUCCUGGUCCCUAGAGCUGCAAGAGAAUAAAUUUCUGUUGUGUUAAGUUACCAAAUUUGCGGUAAUUCGUCAUGGCAGCCCUAGGAGAUGAGGGCUAAGUACAAUUUCCCACAAUGUCCAGCAUUUGUCAGGGCUGAUUGUGUACCAGGCACUCUGCUGAGCCCUCUCUACAAGCAUCAUCUCACUUAAGCCUCACAAGGCACUGUUCUCACCCUCACUUUACAGAGGAGCGGAGAGAGGUUCUAAAAGGCAGGAAGCUGGCCCGAGGCCACGUGGCCAGGAAGCUGGGAUCUGAACCCAGGUCCGUCUGCUGCAAAGAUCUUAGAGCACCCGGAAGCCUCCUCGCCUGGUGACACAGCCGGCUGUAAGAUGGAUUUACCCUGUGCUUGGUGGCUUCUAGCUGAAUGUCACCUCCUCUUUGUCCCCCUACUUAAAAGAGGCCCACAUCUUUUAGCACUCUCUGCUCUAACCCUCGGCAAUUUACCACCACCUCAGAAGUGAGAUAUAAAUUACAACAGACCAUUCUUCUAACUCAACCGAUCAUGGGAACACUGUUUGCUGUUACAAAGAAACAUUCUAGGCAUACACAAUCACGCCUAGUUCUUUGCAUCUAUUUAUCCUCGGGGUCAUUCGGGUUUAUUCGCACACAUUGCCAAGAUGAAUCAGAAAUCUGGAGAAACCAUUUGUUCUUGGAGAAGGACAGCAGUCAGGAGGGUUUUUUGUUAGUUUCUUUUUGUUGAUUUUGAAUUUGUAUGAAGACUAUGUCCCGGUCCCAGGAGAAAACAGACAGAAAAGUUUGUUUUCUUAAGACUUAAAAUAUAUUCUCUGAGCUCACUAAGCCAUCAGAACAUGCCGCUGGGCUCUGACGAUGGCGUGAUUUAGGGAGUAAGCAUUUCUUUCCGCUCUAUGUUUGCCCUGUCUUUUGGGGACUAGAAGAGAUUGUUGUCCAUCUGCUGACAAGCCCCAAAACUGUGUGUGUGUGUGUGUGUGAGUGUGUGAGUGUGAGUGUGUGUGUGGUGUGGCUGGGGGAAGGGGGUCUGGAUGAGGUGGUUACUUUUAUGUUGUUACCCUUCAUUUAUUUUCUUUCAAACAAAAGCUACCCCAUUUCACAGGUGGAAACACUGAGUCCUGGUGGAUGGAAACGAUGUUCUCCAAGGUAACUCAACCAGACAGACUUAACUACAAAUGCCAUGCUGUCCUCUCAAGAAACCAUUCCAUUUAGUGAAAACGAGACCGGUUAUGCAAUGAGUUUGAGGCUAAUUUUAAAGCAAGUCAUGUGUCCUUCCCGUUGCUCUGACCCAAAUACGAGACAGGGACUCAAAGUUGCACACAAAGAAUACCCAAAACAAUCAGGACACUCGACAUGAGCCAUCUGGUUGAUGACGGGAAUGCAAGCGUCAUUUUUCAGCCACCGCAAGGCUCCGGCACUGGGGACUCGUUCAGCGUUCCAGUUAGGACACCGCCCGGAGACUGUGCCAGGGACCGGCCCCAGGUCGCUAGUUCUGUCUGCAGCCAGAUUUCUAGAGCAGUAAAGAGAAGCUAACCUAACCUCUCUCACAAAGGUGGCUUUGUGCUGUGCUGACCAACAGCAGUUAAUAGGGGUUUGAAGCCAGGGCCGGGGGCUUUCUCCUGAGGGCUGACGGGAGGGGAAGGACAGAGUCCUUAAGGGGCAGACACGCGUGAGCGCAGACAGAAGGUGUGGCCUGAUGCAACGAAAGUCUACGCUGAUCCCGCCUUUCUGAACCCCUUCUCCUGUCCAGGUCUGCAGCGCGCCGUCACUGGGCCCGGGCCCUAGGGCUUCCCUCUUCUCUCACGUCUCUCAACCAAAACCCGCUGGGAAAGAAGACGAGAAAUUCAUCCGCAUCAAGGAGAACGGACAAAUUUAUCUUCCUGGGAGCGUCCCGGAAAAAUAAUGGGUCUCUGGGCAGUUUCAGGUAUCCGAGAAGUCAGGUCGGAGGGGUGGGAUCUGCUCUGGGGGCAGGGAGUGUUGGGGGGCCUGGGGCUGGAAAGUCGGGGGAAGGCAGGACGGGCAUUUUCAGAAAGGCAGGCAGAAGUCAUCAGAAGAGUCCAGGGGCCGGCCGGUGGCGCAGCUGUUAAGUGCGCACGUUCCGCUUCUCAGCGGCCAGGGGUUCGCAGGUUCGGAGCCCGGGUUUGGAGACAGCGCUGCUUGGCAAGCCAUGCUGUGGUAGGCGCCCCGCCUAUAAAGCAGAGAAAGAUGGGCACGGAUGUUAGCUCAGGGCCAGGCUUCCUCAGCAAAAAGAGGAGAACUGGCAGUAGUUAGCUCAGGGCUAAUCUUCCUCGGGGACGGGGAAUAAAAGAAAGGAGUCCUGGGCCCGGCCCCGGGUGGAGUGGCUAAGUUUGGGCGCUUCGCUUCAGCGGCCCAGGGGUUCCCGGGUUGGAAUCCUGGGCGGAGACAUGGCACUGCUCAUCAGGCCACGCUGAGAUGGUGUCCCACAUGCCACAACUAGAAGGACCCACAACUAAAAAUAUACAAGUAUGUGCUGGGAGGCUUUGGGAGAAAAAGGAAAAAUAAAAUCUUAAAAAAAAAAAAAAAAAGAGAGAGAGAGUCCAGCAGCAGAUGAAGGAGCUAAGGAGGCAGAGAGCAGAAAACCUUGAAGUCUAAACUCCCUUUGGGAGUUACCCGCUUUUCCUUAAAGUAAAAGAUUUAAGAAAACCGAGUGUGUAUAUAAAGCUCACUCUAUACUUUCAUUCAUUCAUCCAUUCCAAUGAAAUGGUAUUUCCUGUGUUCCAGAUACCAGAGAGAGAGCCAGGAAGAAGAUAUGUCAGAUCUAUGCAUGGAACCACGGAACUUUCUGUCUGGCUAGCAGGGGAGGCUAACAAACAGAACUUCAUGUGGAUGUUUUGAAACAAGAAAGCAGGGUAAGGAGAUAAGGGAGCGAUGGAGCCCGAAGGCAGCUGAGGGGCCCGCAGUGUCUGGCUGAGCUGGUGAGGAAGGGCAUCCUUUGUAGGGUUGCCAGGUCUAGCAAAGAAGAACACGGGGCACCUAGUCGCAUUUGAGUUUCAGAUAAACAGUGAAUACUCUCUCAGGAUAAGUGUGCCCCGUGCAAUAUUUGGGACAUACAUGUAACUAAAAAUUGCCAUUUGUCUGAAAUUCAAAUGUAACUGGGUGUCCUGCAUUUUAUCUUGCACCUCUACUGCCCUGGGGCCCCCAGGAACGAGGUGGGGAGAGAAACAGUCAGCCCAAAGAUUGCCAGGCAGAAAUGGGCUUGGCUCUUGUUCCAGUGUGGCUGGAAUAGAGGGAGGCAGGGAGACGAUGGUAGAGAUGACCCCACAGAGGCAGGCCCGCUAGGAAGAGUUUGCGUUUUAUCCCGAUCAGUAGAAUUUUAGGGAACACCCUCACACUGCAAUUCUUCAUUUCCAUGAAUAUUCCAGUUUAGUAUUGUGUUUCCCGAAGCAGGUGCCACUGACCUUGCUUUAAGGCCAGACUUUAGAAUGGGAGACUAGGUGUCCCUGCCCUGGGUGUCUCACCUAAAUUUACCUGACCUCCCCUCUCUCUUUUCACCCCAUUCACUAUUGUCUGCAGUUUUCCUAGUGCUAGACAGUCAUCGUACCAUAAGAAAUGAACUUAAAAUGCUACUGGGAGAAGAGAUUUAGGGACUCAAAUUCUCACUAGUGUGUAAAUGACUAUUAGAAAGUGUUUUGAAAGUGAGGAAGGGAAGAGCGUAUAGCACAGGUCAAGGGAAGGUGGGAAAAGAAUAAAAAAGGGAAAUUUGAGGGCGCUAAUGCCAAGCUUGACCAAUUUGCCUUGCUGUGACCCUGAAGCUGAGCGUUGGCUGAGCAGAACUGCAAACCAGUUCUCCCCACUCUCGGUGUGGAGAUGACCAAGAGUCUGUCGUGGAAGAGAGAUUCAGAGCCAGGCCGGCUGCGAACCGAUACUGCCAGAUGGCAGAGCAGUCAAAAUAUUUAGCUGUGAAGCCCACACUGUGUUCGGGAAGAGGCUGAACUCACCUUCCUGCCGCAGACCCUGGUGGGCUCCCGUCUGUGGGUGCUGCCUGCCUCCUCAGCCGGCCGCUUCGGUGACUCACUGAGUGGCUCACUGAGUGACUCACUGAGUGACUCAGGCUGGGCUCUGGUGGUUCAUCCCUGGCAGGGAUUUAGCCAGCUGAACCAGCUUCCUCUCCCGCCUUCUAGUAAAAGAUAUCCUGUGUCGAAAACAGAGCCUUGACUGUACUUCUGUGAGAACGGCCCUACCUUGCUUCCGGGGAAUGUGGGGUUUUCUGGACCCAAUAACACACAGAAAAGCAAUAUUGCUCUCCAUGUUAUAGAGGGGAAACAUUGUGAGAAGACGGGCUUGCCCAGGUUCCGAGUGCUGGCGGGUGCACUUGAACGCCCGAGUCUUUUCUAUCACACUGAGGGUGGUGAGUCCAUUUGAAGAUUCCUUAAUGACGUGUGCAAGAUUGCAUAACUACUUGCUGCCCUCUGAAACUGAAACGUUCUUUUUCUAUAAAAUCAUGGUUUAGAAACCAAGAGCAGAAUCUACAAGGGAGAAGUUGUUUCCCCCCAUGUUUUGAAAAACAUUCAUUUCAGAUAAUGAAUCCCUGGGUGAUGGACUGGUUGAUUCUUUCAAAAGAAUUUAAUGACCCCUCCAUUAUACAAAUAAGAAGCGUUUAUUGCAGAAACUUUGGAAAAGUUAGAAAAAAACAAAGGGAAAAAUAAAAAUCACCCGUCAUUCUCCUAGUUAGAUAUAAUUGUUGUUAUUUUGAUGUGUGGCCAGCCCUGGUGGUCUGGGUUAAGAUGUGGCGCUCUCACUGCACGGCCCAGGUUUGUCUCCCAUCAGGGACCACACCACCCAUCAGUCGUUGUCACACUGCGGCAGCUGUGUGUUGCUGAAAGCUCUGCCACCGGGAUUUCAAAUACCAGCAGGGUCACCCAUGGUGGACAGGCUUCAGUAGAGCUUCCAGACUCCGACAGACUAGGAAGAAGGAGCUGGCCAGGCACUUCCAAAAAUUUUGACCAUGAAAACCCUGUGAAUAGCAGCAGAGCAUUGUCUGAUGCAGUGCCGGAAGGUGAGAGGAUGGCGCAGAAACACCCGGCAGGGUUCCGCUCUGCUGUACGCAGGGCCGCUAGGAGUCGGAAUCCAUUCCACGGCACAAACGACAAAAAUUUUAAUAUGUAUCCUUCCUUUUUUCAUACACAUGUGACCAUAUUUUAACAAAUUGGAAAAAAUGUGCUAUAAACUGAUGAAUGAUACUUCCAUGAGCGUUUUCUCACAUCAGUUUCUUUCCAAGCGUCUUUGAUCCAUAGCACACACUCUAUCCUACGGAUGGUGUACUUCAUUUACUCCACCUAUUGAGACUUUUAGCCUGUUACCAUUUUUUUUAUUAUAAACACCACCACAACAGGCUUGCUUGGUCUUAUAAAUAUUUAGUGAUGUUUCCACCCGGCCAUUUGUAUGGGCUUUGGUUUGAGAAAAACUGAAAAUGGAAGAACAGAGAAGGUUAAUAGACAUUAGUUUGAUUUUUGUCUGGCGGAGAAGGGAGAGAAGGAAGGGCAGCCAUCUCAAGUGUCCCCUCUGUAAAGGUCGUUUCCGUCCCCCGGGCUCUUAAUUCUGUUUGUCUGACUUGCCUCCUGUGCGCUUUACCAUCUCCGUCUCCCCACAGCUCCUCACCUUCUCGCCACCCUGUCACAAUCUCUGUUUGCCCUCAUCACACUCUGGGGGCUCUCCUCAGGGCCUCCCUGGUCUUGCCCGCUGUUGAUGAAGGUUUUCUGUGUCUCGACUCAGUGCCUGAGAAGUUAUUUCUAAGAGCAGCAAGUGAAGGAUCCCGGCACAGUGUAUGAAGUCAUGCCCAUAAAGCUCUUCGGCAAAUCACUGCAUUGUUCCACCCGUUGGGUACAGCCCGCAAUGCGGCUGCAACUGACCGGGCCCAAAGACAAGCAACAGUGGUGUGACCUCUGGACUUGUCUAAUUUCUCCACUGGACUAAGCAACUGCCCCUCCAUUCCCUUCCCAUCAGGCACUAUCAGUGUGUCAGCUCUAAUAACAACUAGAAAAAUGGGGACAAUCGUUAUUCCCAAGCUACAAUUUGAGAAACAUCUAAGAGAGUCAUAAAAUCGAAUAAGGCUCAGCAGAGUGCCUUUAGGAAAAAAAAAAAACCAUCUCAUUUGUUGCAGGUUCUUAAAAUAGUUCCCAAUGCUGUCCUCCACCUUCACAAUUAUUUUUGUCUUCAGUUCUAAAUCUGAAUGGCACAGAGCAGCAGAAUUUAUACAUUUAAGUUCAUAAGAGAACAGACAGCUCAUUAAUUCUUAACGUUGGUGGGAUUUGACUGUUUGCCAUCGUAUGCUCCAUUCCGAAAUAUGUCUGGGUCUGCUUUUCUGAGAUGAUUAAAGUGUCUUAUUGAUAACCUUGCGGCUGUUAAGAACACGGUGCCCUUCACGUAUGAGACAAGGUUACACGCCCCUCCCACCCAAGGGAGGGUGUGGGCAACAUCAACACGAAUCAUCUCACGUUUAUCCAUUCACAACUUCAUUUAGUCAAAUAUUUGAGAUUUUCCCAUGUGCCAAGCAAGAGAAAAAGCCCUUGUCUUCCAAGGGGGAGACAAAUAAGCAAAUUUGUAACAUAAUGAAAAUGUUACAAAAAAAAUAAAGCCAAGUAAGAGAAUGGAGUGUGUGGGGGGAUGGGGGUGGUACUUUAGAUCUGGUAGUUAGGGAAGGCCUCUUUGGGGAGGUGGCAUUUAAGUGCAGGAACGAGGCAUGGAAAUAACUAUCAGGAGGAGCAAGGCCAAAGCCCUCGAGAUGGGAAAGGCUCCACGAGAGAAGGGGAGCAGCGAAGAGGUGAGGGUAGCUGAACGCAGCGAGGCAGGGAGAGGGAGAGCUGAGGGGGCCGGGAGCCAGCUCAACGAGAGCCUGUCAGCCACGGACCUUGGUCUGCUCCACCAUGCUCUCUCCCAAGUGCCAAUUCACUGCAGACUCUCACGGUCCCUGAAUCCAGCGGUGACCACCUUGGGUCCCGGCAAGCUGGAAGCCCUUAGGGAUUCCUGGGAAAGCUCUGGGUCCUGUAAAGUGGUCACUGCGGCUGCCAGGCCCACCCUUUUGGUGGUUUUACAAUUCAGAUGAGCUGCUCCUACAGCCUAGGUCUGCUGCUAUACCACCACCUCACUUAACCAUCGACUGCUGUGUGGGGAUCACAGUUCCUGAGUCCUCCUGUAGACCAUGUGAUCUGUAUGUAUUUCCCCCCAUCCUAGAGAAGGAGGCUGAGUUUCAGGAGGUUAGGGACAAGGUCACAUUGUGCCUUAGUCAGUUCAGGUUGCUAUAACAAAGUACCACAGACCAGGUGGCUUAUAAAAUCUGUUUCUUGGUCGCUCUGGAGGCUGGAAGUCUGAGAUCACGGUGCCAGCACAGGUGUCGGUGGGACCCGCUUCGGGUUGCAGACUGCCAGCUUCUCACUGAAUCCUCAUAUGGAGGAGAACAGAAAGAAGUGGCAAGCUCUCUUGUGACUCUUCUAAGGGCACUAAUCCCACUCGUGAGGGUUCCACCCUCACGACCUCAUCUAAUCCUAAUUACCUCCCAAAGCCCGUCUCCUAAUACCAUCACGUUGAGGGGUAGGGUUUCAACACAGGAAUUUGGGGGGACACAAACAUUCAGUCCAUGACACUUGGUUAUUGAGUGAGGGUGGGAUUUAAAUGCAGAUCUAAUUGACUGGAAAGUCUGCUUUUCUUACAUCACGUUGCCUAAUCCUUCCUGAGCACUUCUGUUCAUUGAUCAAAAUAUUUAGUGAACAUCUGCCGUGUGUUUGGUGCUGUGCUGAGCAUCCCCGAGGGACGGAGACACAAAUAAGAGACAGUUCCUGCCCUCAAGCAUCUAGAAUCAAGUGAGCCGUCUAGUCUAUAAUACAUCCCCAGCAUGGAGUGGGAUUAUAACACAGCUCCACCACCACACACACACACACACUCACACUCACACACACACACCCCGUUUUGGACUUUCUCACACAGACAUUUGUCUUAUUCUUCUCAUUAAAGAAACUUGCCAGCUGCCAGGCAGGAUGGGCCACUGCCAAGCGUGAAAAGCAUGCGUUGACCCAUCUGGCCUUGGUUGACAUUGGUACUAUUGUUCACAGUUGGAUUUCACUUAAAUUUGGAUCUUAAUUGUCACUUUAAAAAAUCUUCAAAAAGAUCACCCUAUGUUGCAGGGCUAAAAUGGUAAGACGUCACUGUAGAAGCCUGGCCGUCACACGUCGGCGAUGCAGCCGAAGGGCAGCAGGAACUGCCACGUCUCUGAGCUCUCCCAGCAGUGUCAGAGCCAAGCCCAGGACUCACUCAGGCAUUUGAAGGACGAGCAUUCAGGUGGAGAACACACAGCUCUAUCAGAAGCUUCCAGACGACUUUCUAGAGAAGGUGUGAUACUUCCAGUGGUAUCUUAUUCAGCUCGGGAAUAUAUGAACUACAAGUUUAACCACAUCGGUGAAAUGUCUCAAAAUGAUCUCCAUCACAACAGUGCCUAAGAGAUUAUUCUCAGCGUCAGUACCCUGGUCGUUUCCUUUGCUAUAGUUCCCAUAAUUUGAAAUUACUUUAUUUGCUUGUCUUUGUUUCGCGAUGAGGUUAUCUUUUCAUUGUUGUUUCUCCAGCACAUGGCAAAAUGCCUCAAGCAGAGUCGGGUUGCGGGAAGCAGAAGCUUCUGAGAUGCUGUAUACCCACCGUGGCCAGGACGAUUUACAACUCUUUCUUUAGUGUCUGGGAGAAGCUUGGUCUCAAAAGUUUUAUUGUGACGCUGAAAAAAAUAAGUGCUAUGUUGUUGUCUAAAUAAAUAUACGCUACUGUGAGUUUUUUAGAACACAGAGUUAUGAAGACGUGAUUUUUUUUUUCUGAAAAAAAUUUUAUUAGCUUUACAGAUACUAUUUGGUGUUAAUUUUUAUGACUUGGCAGUUUCUCUUACUCAGUGGCAUCACAGAAUGAAGGAAACAGUAUAACAAGAGUAAAAGACCUUUAAAUAUUUUAAAGCUUUAAAUCAGAGAUUGUAAUAUUUGGGAAUCUCUUCAAACGACUCUCCCAACAUCUCUAACCCAUUAACAAAAAACUCUCAUUAGAUAAUGUGUACUUUCCAAAUAAUUUGAAAUCACCUUGAUAGGGCUUGUAGGCAAAUCAUCACUGUGGCUGGAAAGGAAGAUGCGAGCAAAUGUGCUGUAAUUGUACUGAAAGGAGCUGGUCCGAGGGGGUCCUCUCUGGGCGGCUCCCUGCAUCGUGAGCUCUGUGGGUGGCAUCGGCUUUGGAAUAGGAGAGCCUUUUUGAACGGUGAUGUCACGCUUACCUUGGGCAGGUGAUGUGUCCUCUCUGGGUUUCAGCUUCCUCGUCUGUGAAGUGGGGAAGAGAACUGCCAAUCCCCAGACACGAGGAGGAACCCGCAGGUCUCACACUCAGUGGCGCCCGCCGUACACGGCCCUUGUCUUGGUCCACUCGGGCUGCUGGAACAGAACACCGUCCACUGGGUGGCUUCUGAACAACACACAUUAAUUGCUUACAGUUCUGGAGGCUGGCAAGCCCAAGAUCAAGGCCUGGCAGAUUGAGUGUCUGGUGAGAGCCCCCUUCCUCACAGAGGGUCAUCUUCUCACUCUGACCUCACGUGGCAGAAGGGAGCAGCUAGCUCUCUGGGGUCUCCUUUAUAAGGGCACAAAUCCCAAACACGAGGGCUCUGCUCUCAUGACCUAAUCACCUCCCAAGGGCCCCACCUCCCAACACCGUCACAUCGGGCCUCAGGUUUCCACACAAGAAUUUGGAGGGGGUGGGGUACCAACGUGUGCAGACCGUAGCAGCACUCCCUCCUGACUCCCUUCUGGAACACCUGAACCAGUGGCGAACCCCUUCAGCAAUUUGUAAGGCUGGCGAGAGCACCACCGCUAUUUCACUCGCAUCAUCUCUAGAACAGCGCUCCUCCUCCGGGGCUUUUAUUCCAUCAACGUUUCCCUCUUUUUCCUUUUCUCCACACUUUGUACUUUUGUCUACUGUUUCCUGCCUCUGCUUCUUCAGAAACCUCCUUCCCAACGUCACCCCUUAGGACACAGUCCACGCUCACUUGGAUCUUGGGCCACCGCGGACACUUGAGAGGUUGCUGAACCCUUGGACCUCAUUUCAUAAAGGGCCACGUUUAAGUCACCUCCCAUCAAUUCUUUUCCGUAUCGGGGUAAAUUCAAAACAUGCUGUAAAAAAUAUAAAGUUCUUCCUCAAACAUGUUCUCCAAACAUUAGGGACCCACUUAAACAAGGCCAAAUGAAAUUAUGCUAGAUUCAAUCAGCACGAUGACGGUCUCGCUUAACUCCACACGUUGGGUAUUCACCUUUAGGGCCUCUUUCCCAAGCAAUGUGGAGACACACAGUGGAAGGUCAGAUCAUCUAUGGUCCCACAGAGCCGAAGGGGCUCGCUGUACAGGAUUCUUUGUAUUAUAUGCUGUGCGUUCAAAGUCUCACCUUAGAGAAGUACAGGAAGCAUGUUCUGCCUUACGUCAAUGUCCUGGAAAGGCAAGGACCUAGAAGCACAUUAGGGCUAUGUCAGAGUCCUACUUUGGAAUGAGAGAAUGUUCAAGAUGGAAGGCACUAGAACACUCCUACAACUCCCUCAUUUAUAAAUGAGAGACCCAGAUAAUCAUGAUGUGCCCUACCAGAAUUACAUGCCAAUAAGUGCUGUAACAGGCAAUUUUUUUUUAUUGAGUUCAUAAUAGUUUACAUCAAUGUGAGAUUUCAGUUGUACAUUAUUUCCUGACUGCCACCAUAUAAGUGCUCCCCUUCACCCCUGGUGCCCCUGCCCCACCCCACUUCCCCUGGUAACCACUGAACUGUUUUCAUUGUUUAUAUUCCACAUAUGAGUGAAAUCAUCUGGUGUUUGUCUUUCUCAGACUGGCUUAUUUCGCUUAGCAUAAUUCUCUCUAGGUCCUUCCAUGUUAUUGCAAAUGGGAUGAAUUUGUCUUUUUUUCUGGCUGAGUAGUAUUCCAUUCUACAUAUAUACCACAUCUUUAUCCAAUCAUCGGUCGAUGGGCACUUGGAUUGUUUCCAUGUCUUGGCUGUUGUGAAUAGUGCUGCAAUGAACAUAGAGGUGAAUAUGUUACUUCGGAUUGUUGAUUUCAAAUUGUUUGGGUAGAUACCCAGUAGUGGGAUAGCUGGGUCAUAUGGUAGGUCUAUUUUUUAGUUUUUUGAGGAAUCUCCAUACUGUUUUCCACAGUGGCUGCACCAGUUCGCAUUCCCACCAGCAGUGUGUGAGGGUUCCCUUCUCUCCACACCCUCUCCAACAUUUGUUGUUUUUAGUCUUAGUGAUUAUAGCCAUUUUAACAGGUGUAAGGUAUCUUAGUGUAGUUUUGAUUUGCAUUUGCCUGAUGCUUAGUGAGGUUGAACAUCUUUUCAUGUGUUUAUUGGCCAUCUGUGUAUCUUCUUUGGAAAAAUGUUCAUCUCCUCUGCCCACUUUUUGAUUGAGUUCUUUGCUUUUUUAUUGUUCAUUUGUAACAGACAAUUUUUGUUUUUGGGUGACUGCUUAGGAUUAGACAAUUCUAUUUAGAACCAUUGUGCAAGGCAACUAAAUUCAAGACAUCCAAUUCAUCCAAUUUAUUUUCUUUUAGAAAUCUGAGUACCCUUACCAAAAGCUAGUAUUCACUGAGCUUCAACUAAGGAUAACUUGAUGGAAAGAAUUUGUGUUGAGCAAUAGAAUUUAAAAUCUGAUGCAAAUUGAUCAACGUGCACUUUCUUCCUUGUUUACUUACCUAUCUGGUCUUUCUUCCUUGAUAAAUAAAUAAGUAACUGUUACCAUAAAGCCUUGUGCUCAGCACCUCAUAUUUCACCUCUGUAGUCAACCUCAGUCAUCAGAGUUAAGCAUCCAUAUCUGUCUCUACAGAUGAGGAAACUGAGGUUCAGAAAAGUGAGGUAACCUGCUGUGGUCCCACAGUAAACACCAGUCUUUAUUGUAACAUGUACGUUAUGCCACCUCCAAACAUACACGACCCCUUCCAGCACAGACAGCAGUGCUUCUGUGCUCUAAGAUGCGUAUCC
This 13007-nucleotide long non-coding RNA is filed under the name Equus caballus (horse). Its description in RNAcentral is "lncRNA (ENSECAG00000039105.2)". The record is from RNAcentral. Lineage: Eukaryota; Metazoa; Chordata; Mammalia; Perissodactyla; Equidae.